AAUUUGACAUGAAAAUCCAUGCAAUACUAUGUAUGCAAUACUAUCUGUCUUGCUGUGAUAUUUCAGGCUGUAACUUGCGUGCAACAUUCCAUGUCCCUUGUGAACAGUGGGACAGCACAAACACUCUACAUUGUUUUCAUGAACAGUGCACAAUUGUCAAGGACUGCGAAACAACCUCAUGCUGCUCUUUUUGGUGCCUAUGUCUGCGUAAAAUAAGAAAAACACACCCUUCUGCUGGGUUGGGAGUGAGUAAGUAAACAACCUGCUCCCAGUGGCAGCUCCGCUAACCUGUACAUCGUCCAUUACUCAUACUCCGGCUCAAGUGGUUUCUCCCUGGUAAGUCUCUCACUCUGUCUUCCAGCAGUAGAGAAUCUCACACACCCCAAGGUGUAAGGCAAAAUGCCAAGGCUUGUCUCAGAGCCCAUUGAUCUAAAGGAAACCAGGGGCACCAGGGCAUCCGAAAGCGGUCCCUUUUUUACUCACAUGCUGACAUGUUCCACACCCAAUUAACCUCCAGACACACUCAUCUUAAAACAGAUUAUCCUCGAUAGCAUACAUGCUAGAACGGACGAAUGUGAUAACAAAUCAUGCUCUUAACUUGAGCUUUUCUAGUUACUGCACCGAUUCUCAGAAAGCAAAUAAUAUAAUGAUUUAAAUUACCAACAAUUAACAAACGAGGGGAAAUUGCUGUACUGUUCUGGCAUCCUACCCUAUGUUCAUAAUCACCUAAUGAUAGCGAGAGGUUUCAUCUCCUGUGUAGGUAAAACGCUCAGCAGACUUUCUUGAUCAUCAUCAUCAUCAUCAUAUUUUUUGUGACUUAAGCAUCUUUGCCAGAAGACAGUAUGCCAUCUGUUUGGGUUUCAUAUGCCAGUUCAGGUGGAUAUUAGCCUACAGAAAGUACCUUACACACAUACGCACGCACGCUUAAAUAUAUUUCGCCAAAGCAUGAGGCUCUGUGCAUGACAUUCCUCCAAGAUGCAGGACAAACUGAAAACAUUCCUGUUGAAAAUACCUGUAUAGGAAAUGCACUGGUUUUGGCCAGAGCUUCUUAAUCUGGCAGGACAUAACGGAUCUCCAUUACAGCUAGAGUUGGACUACAGUGUGAACGAGUCUAUUUGAAUCUAUUGU
Long non-coding RNA from Ictalurus punctatus (channel catfish), 1128 nucleotides. The record is from Ensembl. NCBI's taxonomy places the organism in Eukaryota, Metazoa, Chordata, Actinopteri, Siluriformes, Ictaluridae.